Molecule: RNA transcript, 2955 nt
Organism: Cavia porcellus (domestic guinea pig)
Lineage: Eukaryota; Metazoa; Chordata; Mammalia; Rodentia; Caviidae
Exons: 8
Source: RefSeq, a predicted model, not a curated record
UACGGGAAAAGAUGCAUUGCCUCAAAUACCCUCAAAGUCCUCCCGCUCGCUGUGAGCACACGGUCCCACCGUCCUGGCCACUUUCUGAAGCAGGCCUGCGAGUCCUCUUUUGUGAGUGGCUUAAGUUGCACCGACAUAGCUGCCUCCACUCCCUGAAUUGAUUCAAAAUGUUUUCCUUUUUAGGGCGUUUUGAUUCUGGGGAAGGAGAGCCAGAAGUUGCGUGGAGCAGGUCCGGUGUGGGCAGUGAUGUUUCACCGCCCUGCCCUGCCCUUUUCAUGAGCCAGGUGGAUGGCGCCUGGCGGCAGCACUGGCUAUAUUUUGAUCCCACCUUGUGAAGACCGUCAGGAAAUAGCCCUUCUGGAACUGCUGCAGAAAGUGGCAGGGACGAUGGCAUAGGCGUGUUCCAAGCGAGGGAGAGGAUUUCGAGGGGGAUUCGUGGCAGUGCGUUUUUUAGUGUAAUAAUUAAAAAAAAAUAGAUAGGCACCGGUGUUGUGAUUAGUUCUUGUAAACAGAGAUGCUUGGCAGGGAGGCUUGGUGGCAAUCUUGCCCUUGAGGCCCUUUCCUACUGGGUGUGGGCGUGGAGUCAGCUCCGGGACGUGCGGAAAGGUUUGGGAGCAGGGUGGACCAGGCCGGAGCCGGCGGCUGAGUGUGCAGCCGGGCUGUGUGCAUUUGAGCCAGGGGCAAGGCGCAGGAUGCAGACAGCUCGGACGAGGCUGAGGCAGGAGGGGGCGCCGGCAGGGGGCAGCCCAGAGCCACGGACCGGGUAGAAGACGAGCCCCAGGCCCGCUGCUGUGGCCAGGAGCUCAGGCCCCUUUGUUCGCAAGAAACCAUUUAAAACGCCCGUCCCCAGCACGCGUGCGGGCAGCGCGGGGUGCGGGGACGGUGCGAGGACAGGGGCGCGCGGAACACAGCGCGCGCGUUCGCCCGCGCGGCCGGGCUUGCAGGCUCCAGGUCAGCAGUAACCAACAAAGACGUCUCUUCACAGCGACGAAAGGACACAGGGCUGCGGCGCGAGGGGCCCAAGCAGGUGGCCCAGGCGGCCUGGCGGUGCCCACCUGGCACGGAGGGAGGAGGUGCGCGCACUCCCGCCUGCAGAGGUCAGAGGGAGCGGAUCUUCUCCUCCCAUCCGGCCCCCUCUCCCCUGCCUGGGCUUUUCUUCCAGGAACGGAAUGAGCUACUUUAGCAGUUGAAAGGACAUUCCAUUCCCGUGACAGACAGGAGCCGGAUGCGGGCAUACCUCUGCCCUCUUUCUCCUAGGAAGGGUCAGGCAAUGAAUCACAACGAGUGAAAGUUUAAAACAGCAUUUCUUUAACUUCUAAAGGCCUCUCUCACUGACUUCCAAAGUGCCACCAACUGCUGUCUUCACAUCCCCAGCAAGGACCCAUUGCAGAACCUGUGCUGACCAUGGCGAAUUUUAUCUCUUCAGUAUUACCCUCAGGAAAUGGGUUCUUUUGGCACUAAAGUUGUCUAUUACGGAACGAAGGCGGACAGAGGAUUUUAAAACAGUGGGAAAAAAUGAUCCCCAUGGCAAAGAUCAUUCUGCUGUAUUCUGUUCUCUCUGUGUGGGGAGCCACCAACCCCAGCUCCUGAACCAAUCCGUCUGCCAGAGAAUCUGGAAGUUGCCCAUCAGAAAGGCUCUCCAUAAUGAGCCGCCCAGUAGGAGACACCAGCAGGGAUGAGAAUGAGAGACCAGGUAUUUCCCCAAGAGAACAGAACAUGUUUGAAGUUCAAACCCAUCUUUAACCACAAGGUUUCGCCCUUUAGGCCCUAAACACAUUGCAGUGCACAAGUGGGCUGGAGGGAGAAGGACGGUCUUACUAAACACUUGCUUCCGGAAGCAUUGUCUUCAGCUUCCUGACUCCAGUGCAAUUUAGCGACUUUCUCUGCAAGUAUGUGCAGUCUUCAUGUAACUACCACACAAUCAAGAUGCAGAGCACUUUUGUCACCUUCCAAAGUCCCCUAUGUCACCUUGCUGCCAGUCUUUUUCCAAGACCCUGACUUCGGGUCCCCGGUUGCCUCCAGGACCUCAGCAGCCCUGGCUGUAGGGUGAGGUGGUCUGAGAGGCUGAGGGUCUCUGGGGUGUGAGGUACGUGCCACAGAUGGGAUCUGUCAGCAUCUCUUGGGUCCCCCCUGAGUGGGACCUCCUCAGUCCCUUCCCCAGGAAGCAGAGAAAAAGCAAGGGGCUCUGUGAGCUGCCAGACAGACCUCACUGGGGAUCUGCUGACGUCCACUCACUUCCUGGCAGAGCUCCCUGAAGACAAGACCAGGGACCAGGGACAGGAAGUAGGAAAAAACUGGAGAGAGAAGGUUAGAAGGAAUUAAAAAUGAAAAAGAGGACUGGAGCCAGCAGCGUGGAUGCCGUCAGCCAGCUGGAGGGAAGGAGUGAGCAGCUGAGGUUCCUUCCAAGGGAGUUGGCGGAGCCGGGAGGAGCUGCCGCCAAGCCCACGGCCGGCCCGGCCAAGGCCUCCUCCUCCUCCUCGGGGCCACUGCCCUGCGCCUUGGAGGCCCGGGUCUCCCGGUGGGUGCAGGGCCCCGGGUCUUCCUGUCCUCGUCGGUGCUGAGCUGCCCUCCAGCCAAGAUCCCCUGCUGUCCUGCCUCUCCGGUCCCCCAGUCCUCUCCGCAGCGGCCUAUCCAGGCCACACGUUGUUACCUGGAUUACUGCGAAACUCUGCCCUGGCACCUUCCUGAGGGUGCAGCAGUGCAAGGGGACAAGUGGCUGCCGGAAAGGCUCAGCUGCAGGGAACAGGUGGAGUACCUGUGUCCUGGAGAGGAAAGGAUCGAAAUUGUCAGUUGUUUACCUGUCUGUGCCACGACCCCUUCAGCGUGGGAGCACUUCGUCGCUUAAGAAAAUGUCUGUUGAGUAACAAUGACCUUUCCUUUCCCUGGCCCAGGAGCCCCUCAAGGCAGGACACUGUGCCCCAUCACCAGGACAGUGGCCCAGCACUUGGCUAAUUG